RNAcentral lists this ribosomal RNA (907 nucleotides) under uncultured bacterium. RNAcentral describes it as "bacterial SSU rRNA". It matches the Rfam family "Bacterial small subunit ribosomal RNA", at positions 8 to 916 of the family's 1533-position model. The record is from RNAcentral.
AGAGUUUGAUCCUGGCUCAGGACGAACGCUGGCGGCGUGCCUAACACAUGCAAGUCGAGCGAAGUGCUUGGAGAUGAUUUCUUCGGAAUGAUUCACCAAGUAUCUUAGCGGCGGACGGGUGAGUAACGCGUGAGAAACCUGCCUUUCACAAAGGGAUAGCCUCGGGAAACUGGGAUUAAUACCUUACGAAACUGUAUUACCGCAUGGUAGAACAGUCAAAGCGCUUAAGCGGUGAGAGAUGGUCUCGCGUCCCAUUAGCUAGUUGGUGAGAUAAAAGCCCACCAAGGCGACGAUGUGUAGCCGGCCUGAGAGGGUGACCGGCCACACUGGAACUGAGACACGGUCCAGACUCCUACGGGAGGCAGCAGUGGGGAAUAUUGCACAAUGGAGGGAACUCUGAUGCAGCGACGCCGCGUGAGUGAUGAAGGCUUUCGAGUCGUAAAACUCUGUCCUUGGGGACGAUAAUGACGGUACCCAAGGAGGAAGCCCCGGCUAACUACGUGCCAGCAGCCGCGGUAAUACGUAGGGGGCGAGCGUUGUCCGGAAUUAUUGGGCGUAAAGGGUUCGCAGGCGGCCGAUUAAGUCAGAUGUGAAAUCCCACGGCUUAACCGUGGUAAGCAUUUGAAACUGAUUGGCUUGAGUUAAGGAGAGGAAAGUGGAAUUCCUAGUGUAGCGGUGAAAUGCGUAGAUAUUAGGAGGAAUACCAGUGGCGAAGGCGACUUUCUGGACUUAUACUGACGCUGAGGAACGAAAGCGUGGGGAGCAAACAGGAUUAGAUACCCUGGUAGUCCACGCCGUAAACGAUGAGUGCUAGGUGUCGGGGGUCAAACCCCGGUGCCGGAGCAAACGCAUUAAGCACUCCGCCUGGGGAGUACGUGCGCAAGCAUGAAACUCAAGGAAUUGACGG